RNAcentral lists this ribosomal RNA (468 nucleotides) under uncultured bacterium. RNAcentral's name for it is "partial 16S ribosomal RNA". It matches the Rfam family "Bacterial small subunit ribosomal RNA", at positions 28 to 507 of the family's 1533-position model. The record is from RNAcentral.
GACGAACGCUGGCGGCGUGCUUAACACAUGCAAGUCGAACGGAAAGGCCCUGCUUUUGUGGGGUGCUCGAGUGGCGAACGGGUGAGUAACACGUGAGUAACCUGCCCUUGACUUUGGGAUAACUUCAGGAAACUGGGGCUAAUACCGGAUAGGAGCUCCUGCUGCAUGGUGGGGGUUGGAUAGUUUCGGCGGUUGGGGAUGGACUCGCGGCUUAUCAGCUUGUUGGUGGGGUAGUGGCUUACCAAGGCUUUGACGGGUAGCCGGCCUGGGAGGGUGACCGGCCACAUUGGGACUGAGAUACGGCCCAGACUCCUACGGGAGGCAGCAGUGGGGAAUAUUGCACAAUGGGCGGAAGCCUGAUGCAGCAACGCCGCGUGCGGGAUGACGGCCUUCGGGUUGUAAACCGCUUUCGCCUGUGACGAAGCGUGAGUGACGGUAAUGGGUAAAGAAGCACCGGCUAACUACGUG